RNAcentral lists this ribosomal RNA (381 nucleotides) under uncultured bacterium. RNAcentral describes it as "bacterial SSU rRNA". It matches the Rfam family "Bacterial small subunit ribosomal RNA", at positions 28 to 417 of the family's 1533-position model. The record is from RNAcentral.
GACGAACGCUGGCGGCGUGCUUAACACAUGCAAGUCGAGCGGUAAGGCCUUUCGGGGUACACGAGCGGCGAACGGGUGAGUAACACGUGGGUGACCUGCCCCCUACUCUGGGAUAAGCCUGGGAAACUGGGUCUAAUACCGGAUAUGACUCAUGAUCGCAUGGUUGUGGGUGGAAAGUUUUUCGGUGGGGGAUGGGCCCGCGGCCUAUCAGCUUGUUGGUGGGGUGAUGGCCUACCAAGGCGACGACGGGAGCCGGCCUGAGAGGGCGACCGGCCACACUGGGACUGAGACACGGCCCAGACUCCUACGGGAGGCAGCAGUGGGGAUAUUGCGCAAUGGCGGAAGCCUGACGCAGCGACGCCGCGUGGGGGAUGACGGCCU